Molecule: ribosomal RNA, 539 nt
Filed under: uncultured bacterium
Lineage: Bacteria
Description: bacterial SSU rRNA
Rfam family: Bacterial small subunit ribosomal RNA
Source: RNAcentral
GGGGAAUAUUGGUCAAUGGACGGAAGUCUGAACCAGCCAAGUAGCGUGCAGGAAGACGGCCCUAUGGGUUGUAAACUGCUUUUGUAUGGGGAUAAAGUCAAUCACGUGUGAUUGUUUGCAGGUACCAUACGAAUAAGGACCGGCUAAUUCCGUGCCAGCAGCCGCGGUAAUACGGAAGGUUCGGGCGUUAUCCGGAUUUAUUGGGUUUAAAGGGAGCGUAGGCCGGAGAUUAAGUGUGUUGUGAAAUGUAGACGCUCAACGUCUGACUUGCAGCGCAUACUGGUUUCCUUGAGUACGCACAACGUUGGCGGAAUUCGUCGUGUAGCGGUGAAAUGCUUAGAUAUGACGAAGAACUCCGAUUGCGAAGGCAGCUGACGGGAGCGCAACUGACGCUGAAGCUCGAAGGUGCGGGUAUCGAACAGGAUUAGAUACCCUGGUAGUCCGCACAGUAAACGAUGGAUGCCCGCUGUUGGUACCUAGUAUCAGCGGCUAAGCGAAAGCAUUAAGCAUCCCACCUGGGGAGUACGCCGGCAACGGUG